RNAcentral lists this ribosomal RNA (274 nucleotides) under uncultured bacterium. Its description in RNAcentral is "partial 16S ribosomal RNA". It matches the Rfam family "Bacterial small subunit ribosomal RNA", at positions 84 to 354 of the family's 1533-position model. The record is from RNAcentral.
CCCGCCGGCGACCGGCGCACGGGUGAGUAACACGUAUGAAACCUGCCCGUAGCAGGGGGAUAAGCGGAAGAAAUUCCGUCUAAUACCGCGUAACAACCCAUGGAGGCAUCUCUGUGGGUUUAAAGGAAGCGAUUCCGGCUACGGAUGGUCAUGAGUCGCAUUAGCUUGUUGGCGGGGUAACGGCCCACCAAGGCGACGAUGCGUAGGGGUUCUGAGAGGAAGGUCCCCCACACUGGUACUGAGACACGGACCAGACUCCUACGGAAGGCAGCAG